AGUGAACGCUGGCGGUAGGCCUAACACAUGCAAGUCGAACGGCAGCACAGUAAGAGCUUGCGCUUACGGGUGGCGAGUGGCGGACGGGUGAGGAAUACAUCGGAAUCUACUUUUUCGUGGGGGAUAACGCAGGGAAACUUACUCUAAUACCGCAUACGACCUACUUGUGAAAGCAGGGGAUCUUAGGACCUUGCGCGAUUGAAUGAGCCGAUGUCGGAUUAGCUAGUUGGCGGGUUAAAGGCUCACCAAGGCGACGAUCCGUAGCUGGUCUGAGAGGAGGACCGGCCCCACGGGGACGAGGACAGGGCCCGGACCCCGAAGGAGGCCGGCAGUGUGAAUCUUGCGCUAUGGGCGAAAGCCGAACGCAGCCAUGCCGCGUGAAUGAUGAAGGGCUUAGGAUUGUAAAAUUCUUUCACCGGGGACGAUAAUGACGGUACCCGGAGAAGAAGCCCCGGCUAACUUCGUG
This 466-nucleotide ribosomal RNA is filed under the name uncultured bacterium. RNAcentral describes it as "partial 16S ribosomal RNA". It matches the Rfam family "Bacterial small subunit ribosomal RNA", at positions 29 to 507 of the family's 1533-position model. The record is from RNAcentral.